RNAcentral lists this long non-coding RNA (669 nucleotides) under Homo sapiens (human). Its description in RNAcentral is "HSALNT0127226". Lineage: Eukaryota; Metazoa; Chordata; Mammalia; Primates; Hominidae. The record is from RNAcentral.
CAUAUAACUGACCGACUUGGCUAUAACCGAAGCAUGACAAAACUUAUCUCUAGGAUAAGCAUGUUUUCUCUAUUACAGUGCCACAUUCAAGGAAGGCUGUGGCAGUCCUAGUCCUUGCCUGGUAGUUUUAGAUUACUUUAGGUCAGACACAAAGGCAAAGGGAUUUGACCAGGCAGUGUGAAGACAUCAACCAAGGGACUUCAUGCUGAACAGAAAUAGAGAAAGAGGCCCACUAGUAGCCUUCAAUUUUCUGAAAAGAUUAAUUUCAGAAGACAUAGGAAGUUGAUUGAGACAGAGACAACUCAGAAAUGUGGCGAGUCUACAAUAAAUGUUACCCUCUCUUCUCUGGAUUAUCUUUGUGAAAAGUAUCUGGAUUCAUGCCUCUGGAUGUAUAUAAAACGCCUAUGGAAAAUCAGAUAUCGAAAUGAAAUCGAAAUCGAAAUGAAAAAUCGAAAUGAAAAAGGCACAAAAUGAACUAGUUUCUUUUACUUUGUAACUUUUAAGAAUAUGAAUUGUGUACCAGAAAGUUUUAGAUUUUAGAAAGUUUUAGAUUUUCUGAAAGUCAUAAAAAGGAAAAAGUAACAACAGCAGGAUUAUCAAUGCUUUAAGAUAGUAAAGGGGAGGUUUAGGUAGACUGAGCGUAGAAUGAGCAGGGGAAGAUAGGUAAAG